Molecule: RNA transcript, 3433 nt
Organism: Phyllopteryx taeniolatus (common seadragon)
Lineage: Eukaryota; Metazoa; Chordata; Actinopteri; Syngnathiformes; Syngnathidae
Exons: 3
Source: RefSeq, a predicted model, not a curated record
AAAUCGGCGAGGAGCCGAAAAUCAUCAGUAAAGGCGGUAAAAGGCAGUAAACGCAGAGCGCGACAAAUGAGCACAAUUCAUACUUCUAAGUCACUAAAUCGUGUGCUCACUGUGGUUCAAAGACGCACACGAUCACGGGAGUGUUGUGCAAAUCCAAAUAUGGCAGCCUAACCAGUCAAUUGUUCCGUUUAUGCUCCGUGGUUGAUGUGAACAAUUCGGUGUUCACCUUUCUGCUCAGUCUGAAAUGCACGUUUUGCUUUUAGACUUUUCCCCCGCAAUUAUCUUCUCUGAAGUCGUCGCCAUCUUCUUCUUUGUUGUUUAAUACGUUUUGCAAACUGUAAUAGCGCAUUUUCGCCUUUUUCCCGCUCCUUGAAUCAAAUAUGCGCGCCUCGCAUCGAUGACCUAAGCACGUUGUCGUAGUGCGUUUGCUCCGUUGACCUUCAACCUUUAAAUAAGCGGAUUCCCGAAGCAGCAAAACAUUCUCGAGCAUUUUUGCCCUGGAAUACCCGGGCAUUCGUUGCAAACCUAAUUAGAAUAGAUUAAUUCUUUAUUUUCCACCGAGGUAGAAAAUUGUCUCUGGCUCACCAGCACAGGAGAUAGUUGUCACUAAAAUAACAUAUCCUACAUAAAAUAGAUGUGCUAAUUACUGGGACUUGUGGGUAUUCGCAAACGAUCGCCUGGUUCAUCCUAAAGGGUUUUUGACGGGACUUGAGGUCAGAGCUCCCAAGUUUUUGGACACCAAAUGCACCCAAGCAUGCCUUGAUCGACUUUGAUUUGUGUACUGCAUUUUUGCAGUAACAGUUAAGAACAGAAGAACACAAAUGAUCUUUCCCAAAGUCAGAAGCACAGAGAUUUACCACAAAGUAAGAGUCCUGAUCCAAAGAUCUGAUUAACUUGAGUGUCCCAAUACUUUUUGUUUUAAUGUUUCUCUGUAAAAAUGCAAUUGUUUUUUUGGGGGUGGAAAAACUGAGAAGUUACAAAAGAUGACAUGACCAGAGUGGUCACAAGGAUGAGAGCCCAAGCGCUAAAAUCACCUUCCUAUUAAACCAAAAUUCAUUCGGUCUGUAUGUCCGAGGGAUACGCGGAGGGAUUGAGGAGGCCCCACUUGCUUAAUUAGGCUCCACGAAUAUCUGAUGACCUUGUCUAUUAAAGAUCGAUGGCGGUAACAUGACUGCAUCAGCAGAUAAGGAAUGCGGGUACCUGCCUGCUUCGCUGGAUAAAAGCAUCAGUCGGAUGAAAAAUGACUAUCUAUUUAUGCAUCGUAUCGAGCUCGUGUCUAUCGUGUGCACACGUACGCUUGCUCGUGAGAGAUAUCGCAUCCCAUGAGACCCGGCCAUCACUCCUUGCCGCAUCCGUGUCCACCGCCCCGUCUCCCUUCCUCUGCCUCCUUCCUCCUUGCUGUAGCACUUUGUCGGCGUUCAGUCACGCUGACAGUCAGUCAGUCAGGUGGAAUUAAAUGAAAGCAGCGCUGAUAGAGCGCUUCACUUCAAGGAUACAAUUUAUACAAGGGCUUUAUAUUCAAUGAAACACUGUGAUAGUAGUCUGCAAUAUAAUAUACAUUUAGACAGCUUUCAAAAUGGCUCCUUCAAAGGGAUUUAUCCGCUAUUAUAUGACUUUUAAGAUUUCACAGACGCCACCGUCAGAUGCUCAAAUUUGCCUGCACCUCAAAAAUACACUAUUAUGCCUUGAGGGAUACACUGACGGUUGUUUGGCUCGCAACUGGGGUUGUACUUUAAAGGUUCUGCUUUUCUACACUGUAUGAUACAUGUCCCCAUCAUUCAACUUAUAUUAACUGCACAGGAAUAUUUUAAGCAACACAAUGGACCCCCGCAUAUUUGCAGUAUGUGUAAUGUGUACUGUAUUUUAGCUCCACUUUAACUGAGACAACAAACAGUCACUGUCAACCCUAGAAAACAUCAAACUACUUGUCCGCUCCACCCAAGUCCCCUCAACCAAGCUUCCACGGCGUCGUGUGUAGGGGCAAGUUCCACUGCCAGCCUCGCUCAUCCGAUCCCAAAUUUAACAGCAGCGGUGUUACAUUUCUGAGUGACAGUCAGCGGCAGUGGAUAGAGAGCUGCUUUGGUUCAUGAUAAUUUUUCCAAACGUGGACUAAACGGGAGCAUCCUUUAAGCUAAAGCAUCCACAGUGCAACCGCCAGAAAGAGACUUGCAUGUGAUCUGAGGUUAAUUACGGGUGGCAGGAGAGCUGCGUUGUCCCGUCGGCAGAGAAGUAACUUCAUCAUUCCGACAUCGUGAGAGAAAUGGCAUCUUUGCAGAUCGAGGAUUUAAAACUUAAAGUUGGUGGUGCUUUGUACACGUUAACAAAAGACAGUCUGCUUGAAGUUUGGGAUUUUCUAUGUAUUGCAGGUUUGGAGUUUGAAAAUAUGUCAGAUAAAUCAGUCAUGUGUUCUUCCAUCACAGUCUGCUUUGGUGCUGCUACAAAAAAGGACAAACUCCGACUGCAACGGACAAUCAAAACUGCUGAAAGGAUUGUCGCUACCCCCCUGCCCACCCUUGAGGACUUGCACGCUGCCAGAACUAGCGUGCAAAAUCCUCUCGGACCCUCCGCAUCCCGGUCACCGGCUCUUCUGGCUCCUUCCCUCAGACUGACUGGCAGCUACACGGGACGUCGACGAAAAAGUCUCCCAGCCGAGGUCGAAUUGAUUCCCUACAAGGUUGUGCAGCACACCGGCACCCUCAACCAGUGAGCACAUCGCUUGGACUCCAAGCAUAUCUUCUGUGUGCAAAGUGCAGCUCGGCAGCUCACAGCGGCGAUGAUACGAGUGGUUCCGCUGCGGAGAAAUGGACUCCGGAGGGUCAGUGGGCAACGCUCGUACCCGGGGGCAAAGGAGACCGAGGGCUAGAUGGAAAAUCCUCCUAUGCCCCGUCUGGCCCCGGUGAGAUUACCAGCGGAGUAAUAGGAUCGUCCAUUUUCUGUAAUAGAACACAGUAAGGCUAAGCCCCGGCUUGGGUCUCAAUCUGGCCCCGGAUCACUACCAAAGCGACAACAACAAAUCAAGAAACUCGGUCGGUUCUUGCUGGGAGGAAAGGAAGCUUUGUUGCCUUGGGACAUAAGCCCAGAACUGCAAACGACCAAGGAGCAAUAAUGCAACAGUGCAAUGCAAACACAAUACUGCAGAAGCAUUCUCUAUGGCAGGAGUGCUCCAAAGGUGGCCACGUAUUUGUGGCCCUCGAACGGUUACGUCCCGUUCGGAGACCACACGAGACCGGGCGUUCUAAGAAUAGUAGUUUUGCCGUAAACCGCACUUCACGUCGCGCAUGAGUAUGUGAGGUUGGCCACAUGGCAGAAGUGCCCGAAUUGAAAAACGUUUACCUUUGCAGUGUGUUUUGGUUGAGUCAGCACGCGUAGACCGGGACUUGUCUCCUCUACGAUACAUAGAUGGCCUGUAGAAAAGGUCCAAAGUCAUUUUUUG